AGGCAGCCCCUUUGUCAAUUUACAAUGGCCUUGGAGGUGUUGCGUUGCUCGGAGACUAAAUCUUCUGAUCUUCAGAUUAGCCGAGGGGGAUGCUUUUGUUUCCCUCCCUGAAGCUGGUCUAGUAGUCGUAUGAACAUC
Molecule: small nucleolar RNA, 138 nt
Organism: Lolium rigidum
Lineage: Eukaryota; Viridiplantae; Streptophyta; Magnoliopsida; Poales; Poaceae
Product: small nucleolar RNA snoR77
Exons: 1
Source: RefSeq, a predicted model, not a curated record